This 374-nucleotide ribosomal RNA is filed under the name uncultured organism. RNAcentral's name for it is "partial 16S ribosomal RNA". It matches the Rfam family "Bacterial small subunit ribosomal RNA", at positions 527 to 896 of the family's 1533-position model. The record is from RNAcentral.
GUAGGAGGCAAGCGUUAUCCGGAUUUACUGGGCGUAAAGCGUGUGUAGGCGGUAUGGGUAAGUCGGGACGUGAAAGCUCCUGGCUCAACUAGGAGAGGCCGUUCGAUACUUCCCAAACUUGAGGGCAGUAGAGGGAGGUGGAAUUUCAGGUGUAGCGGUGAAAUGCGUAGAUAUCUGAAGGAACACCAGUGGCGAAGGCGGCCUCCUGGACUGACCCUGACGCUAAGACACGAAAGCUAGGGGAGCGAACGGGAUUAGACACCCCGGUAGUCCUAGCUGUAAACGAUGCAGACUUGGUGUUGGGAGUGUAAAAACUUUCAGUGCCGGAGCUAACGCGUUAAGUCUGCCGCCUGGGGACUACGACCGCAAGGUUA